UACGGAGGGUGCGAGCGUUAAUCGGAAUUACUGGGCGUAAAGCGCACGCAGGCGGUUUGUUAAGCUAGAUGUGAAAGCCCCGGGCUCAACCUGGGAUGGUCAUUUAGAACUGGCAGACUAGAGUCUUGGAGAGGGGAGUGGAAUUCCAGGUGUAGCGGUGAAAUGCGUAGAUAUCUGGAGGAACAUCAGUGGCGAAGGCGACUCCCUGGCCAAAGACUGACGCUCANGUGCGAAAGCUAGGGUAGCAAAUGGG
Molecule: ribosomal RNA, 253 nt
Filed under: uncultured bacterium
Lineage: Bacteria
Description: partial 16S ribosomal RNA
Rfam family: Bacterial small subunit ribosomal RNA
Source: RNAcentral